RNAcentral lists this non-coding RNA (30 nucleotides) under Rattus norvegicus (Norway rat). Lineage: Eukaryota; Metazoa; Chordata; Mammalia; Rodentia; Muridae. The record is from RNAcentral.
UGGGAUAGCACAGUAAGACAUUUGACCUUU